UUUUAAAACUGUAAGCCAUAGAAUUUACUAUUUACACCUACUUUAGACAUUUAUUCUGCUUACAAUAUCACAGGCAUGGAAUGAAUUCUAUCUGAUAGUGCUAAUACAUAAAGGUGCGGGACAAAGAAGGAAAAUACUUAGUGUUACAAAAUAUGGAUCGUAGAAAAGAAACCCACUCCACAAGUGUGGCAUCUGUUUAGAAUGUUUGGACAUGCUUUCUUCAAAAUUUCUGGAAAAGGUUCUAAAAUUGGUAGUAGGAAAGGACAAAUGAGCAGGUGCAAAUUCUCCUCUGUGCAACAACAGUUAUUGAAUAUACCCCAUGACUGACCAGCUACAUAAAACCCACAGAGUUUUGUUAAAGUGCCAUGGGCUGACAGCAUAACAAAAUAGAAGGUGUAAAUAGAAAAUUUCUUUUUUUCCUUUUUUAAAACAAGAGUUCACUGAGAAUCAGCAAUAAUAGAAUAUGCUGUAUAAACUAUUCUCUACAAAGGUUGAUCAGCAUUAUUUACAAUUGGUACAUUGAUACAAAAGAAGGCAUACAAGUUAUCCAGGUCGCUUUUUUUUUAUGGCUGACAGGUCUAUGCAUUGCGUUACGCUUUAACAACCAGAGCUUUCGAGCCUCUAUGGCGACAAGUCACAAGAUCUUCAGGCAGAUGGGGGUGUGUGCAGUCAAGGGGCUAGGAGAGAGGGCUGAGUGGGGUGUGCAGAACAGAAGUACCCAAAGAAUAUUCCCCCAAUAAUGCUUUAUAGGCUGGUCCAGUUGAACUCCAUCCAAACAAACUGAAAGAAAACCUUUUAUUUGCAUUCCAUUUUUCAAGCUGUGAGUUUUGAAUACAUCAUUAUAAAGUAAACCUGUAGCUGACUGUGAAGGAAGAAACACCGUGGGUUUUCCCUUUUUGCUCAGUUUCCAGAAAUGUCCUCACCUUGGUCAGAGCCAGUCUUUCACCAAGUAAGCAGCAUUCAGUGGGGAGCCUCUUAAUUCCAGCUUGCAAUUCAAGAUGUAGAGAGCUAAAAUGUUUAAAAUCCAUUGAAUUGCUCCUUUAGUCCCUGUCGAGACAUUAUUUCUCAGAAGCAGCCACUUAAUCUCUCAACCUUUGUUUUCCCUCUNNNNNNNNNNNNNNNNNNNNNNNNNNNNNNNNNNNNNNNNNNNNNNNNNNNNNNNGUUUUCACUCCUGCAAGUAUUACAACUCAAAAUAAAUUAUUUAAAAAAAAAAACAACAGACUUCUAAAACUGAACGAGACAAAAAUUGUGCAAAAAUAACAAAGAUAUGUACAUACUUUUCAGUCUGAAGAAAUGUACAAUAAAAACAUAAUUCAAAGAACAUUUUAAAAAUAUAAACAUUGCUUCAACUUUCCUAAGUUUCAUAUUGUUUCUG
RNAcentral lists this long non-coding RNA (1376 nucleotides) under Capra hircus (goat). RNAcentral describes it as "lncRNA (ENSCHIG00010008114.1)". The record is from RNAcentral. Lineage: Eukaryota; Metazoa; Chordata; Mammalia; Artiodactyla; Bovidae.